Molecule: ribosomal RNA, 1384 nt
Filed under: uncultured bacterium
Lineage: Bacteria
Description: bacterial SSU rRNA
Rfam family: Bacterial small subunit ribosomal RNA
Source: RNAcentral
CUGGCUCAGAUUGAACGCUGGCGGCAGGCCUAACACAUGCAAGUCGAGCGGAUGAAGAGGGCUUGCUCUCUGAUUCAGCGGCGGACGGGUGAGUAAUGCCUAGGAAUCUGCCUGAUAGUGGGGGACAACGUUUCGAAAGGAACGCUAAUACCGCAUACGUCCUACGGGAGAAAGCAGGGGACCUUCGGGCCUUGCGCUAUCAGAUGAGCCUAGGUCGGAUUAGCUAGUUGGUGAGGUAAUGGCUCACCAAGGCGACGAUCCGUAACUGGUCUGAGAGGAUGAUCAGUCACACUGGAACUGAGACACGGUCCAGACUCCUACGGGAGGCAGCAGUGGGGAAUAUUGGACAAUGGGCGAAAGCCUGAUCCAGCCAUGCCGCGUGUGUGAAGAAGGUCUUCGGAUUGUAAAGCACUUUAAGUUGGGAGGAAGGGCAUUAACCUAAUACGUUAGUGUUUUGACGUUACCGACAGAAUAAGCACCGGCUAACUUCGUGCCAGCAGCCGCGGUAAUACGAAGGGUGCAAGCGUUAAUCGGAAUUACUGGGCGUAAAGCGCGCGUAGGUGGUUUGUUAAGUUGAAUGUGAAAGCCCCGGGCUCAACCUGGGAACUGCAUCCAAAACUGGCAAGCUAGAGUAUGGCAGAGGGUGGUGGAAUUUCCUGUGUAGCGGUGAAAUGCGUAGAUAUAGGAAGGAACACCAGUGGCGAAGGCGACCACCUGGGCUAAUACUGACACUGAGGUGCGAAAGCGUGGGGAGCAAACAGGAUUAGAUACCCUGGUAGUCCACGCCGUAAACGAUGUCGACUAGCCGUUGGGAUCCUUGAGAUCUUAGUGGCGCAGCUAACGCAUUAAGUCGACCGCCUGGGGAGUACGGCCGCAAGGUUAAAACUCAAAUGAAUUGACGGGGGCCCGCACAAGCGGUGGAGCAUGUGGUUUAAUUCGAUGCAACGCGAAGAACCUUACCUACUCUUGACAUCCAGAGAACUUUCCAGAAAUGGAUUGGUGCCUUCGGGAACUCUGAGACAGGUGCUGCAUGGCUGUCGUCAGCUCGUGUUGUGAAAUGUUGGGUUAAGUCCCGCAACGAGCGCAACCCUUAUCCUUUGUUGCCAGCGGUUAGGCCGGGAACUCAAAGGAGACUGCCAGUGAUAAACUGGAGGAAGGUGGGGAUGACGUCAAGUCAUCAUGGCCCUUACGAGUAGGGCUACACACGUGCUACAAUGGCGCAUACAAAGAGAAGCGACCUCGCGAGAGCAAGCGGACCUCAUAAAGUGCGUCGUAGUCCGGAUUGGAGUCUGCAACUCGACUCCAUGAAGUCGGAAUCGCUAGUAAUCGUGGAUCAGAAUGCCACGGUGAAUACGUUCCCGGGCCUUGUACACACCGCCCGUCA